Acanthochromis polyacanthus (spiny chromis) is the source of this 1711-nucleotide long non-coding RNA. RefSeq lists it as uncharacterized. The record is from RefSeq and is a predicted model, not a curated record. Lineage: Eukaryota; Metazoa; Chordata; Actinopteri; Pomacentridae. The transcript is spliced from 5 exons.
GGUUCGACAAACACCUACGCCGCUGAAGAAGAAGUAGAAGAAAAAGAAGAAGAGAAAUAAAGCAGAAUCAUGUGGGGAUCUCUGUCCGCUGCUCUGUUUGUUUCUGUGUUUCUGCUUCCAGCCGUCAGUCAGUCGCACUCUGCCCUUCCAGAGGACUUUGAGGGAUCAGGAUACGACCUGGAGAGCUCUGGUUCCGGAUCAGGAGAUGGAUGGGAGCAGGAUGAAGUCACAAACAUCAAGGUUCAAAACAACAGCUAUGGAGGCAGAAAACUCACAGGAGGUGGAAACAAGAACACGUUACCAGGUUCCUCAGAUCUGACCUCUGAUGGCACACGCUGGCCGGCAACAGACGACAAAUCAGAAUUGGUUUUUAUUGAAAGCAGCAAGCGGUUCUGGGAGAAUGAAGAAAUCUGCGCAGCCUUUAUUGCAGGGGGAGUCGCAGGAGUCGCAAUCGCUGCUGCAGUGUCGGCGGUUUUAAUCCAUAAGAGGCAGAAGAAAGACAAGGAGGGGCACAUUCUGGGUUGGAGAAGGGCGUCGGACGAAGAUUAUCACAAACCCAUAAGGGAUGCAGUUAUUGUUUAACUGUCAGGCCGAUGGUUGCUUUAUAGGUUGAUGAAAGUGGGUCGACUUCUGCAGCCGGAGAGCUGCUGUAAAAGCAUUCUCUCCUUGUGUUUUCUGGGAGGACGGUGCAGAUGAUGUAGCUCUCACAUGCAUCUGAUGUCAUGCAUUGAUAAUUUAUUUAUAUUUAAAAUAAAAUGUAAAGAAUCGCUCUUAUCUGGUGACCUUUUAGUUACCAAGCUAAUUUGGAUCCACACAGGGUAGCUGUAGCUAGCACUGAGGUCAUGCUCUCGGUGUUUUAGAAGAUGCAACCAAGUGUAGCUUCAUUUUUUUUCUUAUUUUGAAAUCCAUUGUCAGCAGUAAUCUUACAGAAUAAUGAUUAAAGUGAUGCCAUUUUCAGAUUAUGCAAUCCACCCUAGGGUGUCGAUGAUCUUAUCUGACUUCAGUGUUUUUAGUGUAACUGAACAAACAUCUUGUAUAAUUGUACAUUUGAUUGAUUAGUUAUCAAUAUGUACUUUGCUAUGUGACUGUUUUAAAGUGGCAGCUUUUGUUGUUUUCGCGCACACUUUCUUGUAGCAUUUAAAUAAACGAAACUACCUUUAAACUAAGCAGACAGCAACAACAACAACACGAAAAUCCCUUAAGGCCCUCCUCAUGCACUGAACACUCCCACAAGUGCUUUCAAAUAUUCGGCCUCCUCUCAGGACUGUGUGGGUGUCGACAGAAGAUGUUCUACUGGACUUUUUCCACCAACAACAUUCUGACAUCUCGCAGAGGGAAAAGCACAGGUGUAAAUAAUGACCUUAAGGGUGAAUUAAUGCCAUUUAGCUGCUUCAGUUUCCAUAUUUGUGUAUUGUGUAUGCUGGCUCUCUGUCACAGCAUACACAGACACUUAAAGAGAUCAGAAUCAUUGUUAAUGCCUUUAGAUAAAACGUUUCUACAAGUCCAAAUGUAUGUAGCAAACCUUUACAGUAUCUAAAUAAUCCAUGAUUUAUGAGAUAUGAAUUAAAAAGAUAGAGGAAGCUCUUAUAUGUUGAAUGUAAAUGGUAGAUUAGGUAAUGACAGUUGGCUGCUAACACGUUAUGUAGGGUAGAUAUUUGCAUAUAUUUUUGUAUUCCAUAAUUGUUAAUAAAAGAGCUUUGUAACAAUUUAA